This 696-nucleotide ribosomal RNA is filed under the name human gut metagenome. RNAcentral describes it as "bacterial LSU rRNA". It matches the Rfam family "Bacterial large subunit ribosomal RNA", at positions 2235 to 2925 of the family's 2925-position model. The record is from RNAcentral.
GUUAUCCGGGUUGCGGACAGUGUCUGGUGGGUAGUUUGACUGGGGCGGUCUCCUCCUAAAGAGUAACGGAGGAGCACGAAGGUUGGCUAAUCCUGGUCGGACAUCAGGAGGUUAGUGCAAUGGCAUAAGCCAGCUUGACUGCGAGCGUGACGGCGCGAGCAGGUGCGAAAGCAGGUCAUAGUGAUCCGGUGGUUCUGAAUGGAAGGGCCAUCGCUCAACGGAUAAAAGGUACUCCGGGGAUAACAGGCUGAUACCGCCCAAGAGUUCAUAUCGACGGCGGUGUUUGGCACCUCGAUGUCGGCUCAUCACAUCCUGGGGCUGAAGUAGGUCCCAAGGGUAUGGCUGUUCGCCAUUUAAAGUGGUACGCGAGCUGGGUUUAGAACGUCGUGAGACAGUUCGGUCCCUAUCUGCCGUGGGCGCUGGAGAACUGAGGGGGGCUGCUCCUAGUACGAGAGGACCGGAGUGGACGCAUCACUGGUGUUCGGGUUGUCAUGCCAAUGGCACUGCCCGGUAGCUAAAUGCGGAAGAGAUAAGUGCUGAAAGCAUCUAAGCACGAAACUUGCCCCGAGAUGAGUUCUCCCUGACUCCUUGAGAGUCCUGAAGGAACGUUGAAGACGACGACGUUGAUAGGCCGGGUGUGUAAGCGCAGCGAUGCGUUGAGCUAACCGGUACUAAUGAACCGUGAGGCUUAACCUU